CCUGUAGCUCAAUUGGAUAGAGCGUCUGGCUACGGACCAGAAGGUUGCAGGUUCAAGUCCUACCAGGUGC
RNAcentral lists this transfer RNA (70 nucleotides) under bovine gut metagenome. It matches the Rfam family "tRNA". From Rfam's summary of the family: Transfer RNA (tRNA) molecules are approximately 80 nucleotides in length. Their secondary structure includes four short double-helical elements and three loops (D, anti-codon, and T loops). Further hydrogen bonds mediate the characteristic L-shaped molecular structure. tRNAs have two regions of fundamental functional importance: the anti-codon, which is responsible for specific mRNA codon recognition, and the 3' end, to which the tRNAs corresponding amino acid is attached (by aminoacyl-tRNA synthetases). tRNAs cope with the degeneracy of the genetic code in two manners: having more than one tRNA (with a specific anti-codon) for a particular amino acid; and 'wobble' base-pairing, i.e. permitting non-standard base-pairing at the 3rd anti-codon position. The record is from RNAcentral.